UCCUGUCUCAAACAAAUAAGCAGGAUGGCUUCUGAGGAAUAAUACCCAAAUAGACACACACACAACAUACACAUACACACAAAGUAGGGGGCAAAACGCAAAAACAACAAAACAACAACAACAACAAAACCACAACCAAGAAAACCCAAGCAGGCACCAUUUAGAACAGGGCAUCUGUCCAGUCUCUCUUGCUAAUAAAUGUUUCAUCAAUGGCUUGUUCAUUUUUCUUAUUCUCCACAACGGAGAUUAAUUGCUAUUUUACAUUGCACUCAACUUCUAUUAGUUGAGGAUUUAUUCCCUCAGUGAUACCAUCACUGGGCUUCCAUAAAACAUUUUAACGGAGACAAACUCAUUACGUUCUUGAAGGUGAGUGGACAGGAAGGAGACAGAGCUGGCUCAAGUUUUGCAGUGCCGUGGCAUCCACUGAACUACAUCAGGUAUGUCAAACAGGUUGGGCCUGGGACAUACUAGACAACAGAAGCCAGUGGAAGGGUGGUCCAGCUCAGGCCUGCUGGGCCUCUGGCCACCAGAGCUAGCUUUCCCAGAACAGCCCUAAUCCCCAGAUGGCUCUGACCUCUUUACAGCCUUCUCAACCACACUGCCAAACAGCCUGUCCUGACCCAAAAAGGACUCCAUUUCCCAGCUGCUCCAGGUCAUGUUACCCUCUGAUCAGAGUCUCGUUUUAUUCUUGGACUUGACAUUCAGCCCAGUUGAGAGCGAAGUUGUCUUUUCUGUAUAGGAGAUGGUGUGACUGUGGUCACAUUCAGCACCUGCGAUGGUCAGCAUCGGUCACCUUGACAAGAUCUAGGAUCAGUUAGGAGACAAAGCUCCUCUGUGAGGGAUUAUCUAGAUUAUAUUAACUGAGGUGGGAAGACCUGCUUAAAGGAGGCCUGGGACUGAAUAAAAAGGAGAGAGCAAGCUAAGCCCCAUCUCCUCUGCUUCCCAGCCAUGGGUGCACUGAGGACAGCUACCUUGCCUUCCUGAUGUACUCUGCCCCCUGCAGCUGUAAGCCGAGACACGCCCUUCCAUCCUAAACUUGCCUUUGUCAGGAAGAAGAAGAAAAGACUAUCAUGGUGAUGUGGACUGAGACUUCAGACACUAUAGACCGUGUGAAAUCCAGGCUGUGAAAGUGGCUCAAGUGGGUGAAGCACUUGCCUUAUGUGUGUGAGGACCUGCAUUUGAGUCUCCAGCACUCCUCCUGGGAUGUGGGAAGUGGAGAAUCAAUCCCCUGGAGCAGGCAGAAGGUCCAAGCAUCCAGUGGUUGUUUACUCCACGAGGCUGGAUGUCUCAGUCUUCAGUAUACAGCAGAAUUCCAAAGAAGUCCGCUUUAAUGUAAGGAAGAGCAAGGGCAAGCAGGGAAAGAAAGCAAGCUUCCUUCUUCCAUGUCUUUUAUAUGGGCUGCCAGCAGAAGGUGUGACCCAGAUUGAAAAUGGAUCUUCCCACCUCAAAACAUCUGGGUUAAAAGUGUGUCUUCCCACUUCUGGUGAUUUAAUGAAGAAGAAGAAGAAGAA
This is a long non-coding RNA of Mus musculus (house mouse), 1511 nucleotides long. RefSeq annotates it as predicted gene, 57835. The transcript has 3 exons. NCBI's taxonomy places the organism in Eukaryota, Metazoa, Chordata, Mammalia, Rodentia, Muridae. The record is from RefSeq and is a predicted model, not a curated record.